CCGUGUGUUUCUCUGAGGGGGUGUCAUUCGCUCUGGAUUGUUGUUCUUAUUUCUCUACCUCCCCCCCCCACCCUCUUUCUCUUGUAUCGGCUUCCCGAGAGCGCGUGGAGAUGAUGUCAUAGUAAAUUGAGCCCUGAUAUUCAAAUAUGAGUUUUGCCUUGAUGACUUUGGCUAGCAUGUAUUGACAUUACAUUACCUGAUCAUAUGCAUUGGGGUCCAUUGGAACAUGUUGCCAGAUGAGCGCACAUAGGAUGGCAUCUGUAUACUUCAUGGAUGUGUUUGAUGUUCCUCCCAUGACUAGCAGUGAUCAUACCGCAUGGUGGUUUAAUUUAUUAACUGUGAGAGACUCUGAAGGCAAGCUGCAUCGUCUGCCUCGUGGAAUACUUUCUUCAUAAACGAAAUCAAUAUGAGCCUUUGCUACUGCUGUUAAUUCAUAACGUAAGUUUUUCUAUACUGCUUUCUUUUUGGGUUUUUUGAAGCAGCUUAUAAAACAAUAAGUACUAAAAUAUGCACAUUGACGCAGCGGGUAGGAGGAGUUCAGUGGUGGGGAACGGCCAGCCCAUGGCCUGAAUUAGGCCCGACAGUGGUUCCAGUUUGGCCCUUGAAGCUGGUUCCCACAACCACAUCUAGCUGUCUUGUAUCAUAUGUGAUGUCGGGUGUGGGGCAGGUAAGACUCGUCCAAAAAGGAACAAUCAGA
Molecule: non-coding RNA, 697 nt
Organism: Podarcis muralis (Common wall lizard)
Lineage: Eukaryota; Metazoa; Chordata; Lepidosauria; Squamata; Lacertidae
Source: RefSeq, a predicted model, not a curated record